Molecule: ribosomal RNA, 440 nt
Filed under: uncultured bacterium
Lineage: Bacteria
Description: partial 16S ribosomal RNA
Rfam family: Bacterial small subunit ribosomal RNA
Source: RNAcentral
CCUACGGGGAGCAACAGUGGGGAAUAUUGCACAAUGGGGGAAACCCUGAUGCAGCGACGCCGCGUGAGUGAAGAAGUAAUUCGUUAUGUAAAGCUCUAUCAGCAGGGAAGAAAAUGACGGUACCUGAGUAAGAAGCCCCGGCUAACUACGUGCCAGCAGCCGCGGUAAUACGUAGGGGGCAAGCGUUAUCCGGAUUUACUGGGUGUAAAGGGAGCGUAGACGGCAGUGCAAGUCUGGAGUGAAAGGCGGGGGCUCAACCCCCGGACUGCUCUGGAAACUGUACGGCUGGAGUGCAGGAGAGGUAAGUGGAAUUCCGAGGGUAGCGGUGAAAGGCGUAGAUAUAUGGAAGAACACCAGUGGCGAAGGCGGCUCUCUGGUCUGCAACUGACGCUGAGGCUCGAAAGCAUGGGUAGCGAACAGGAUUAGAUACCCGUGUAGUC